RNAcentral lists this ribosomal RNA (359 nucleotides) under Shigella flexneri. Its description in RNAcentral is "partial 23S ribosomal RNA". It matches the Rfam family "Bacterial large subunit ribosomal RNA", at positions 1 to 397 of the family's 2925-position model. The record is from RNAcentral. Lineage: Bacteria; Pseudomonadati; Pseudomonadota; Gammaproteobacteria; Enterobacterales; Enterobacteriaceae.
GUUAAGCGACUAAGCGUACACGGUGGAUGCCCUGGCAGUCAGAGGCGAUGAAGGACGUGCUAAUCUGCGAUAAGCGUCGGUAAGGUGAUAUGAACCGUUAUAACCGGCGAUUUCCGAAUGGGGAAACCCAGUGUGAUUCGUCACACUAUCAUUAACUGAAUCCAUAGGUUAAUGAGGCGAACCGGGGGAACUGAAACAUCUAAGUACCCCGAGGAAAAGAAAUCAACCGAGAUUCCCCCAGUAGCGGCGAGCGAACGGGGAGCAGCCCAGAGCCUGAAUCAGUGUGUGUGUUAGUGGAAGCGUCUGGAAAGGCGUGCGAUACAGGGUGACAGCCCCGUACACAAAAAUGCACAUACUGU